AUGACUGAUUACCUGAGAAAUAAUUGAUGA
Molecule: non-coding RNA, 30 nt
Filed under: Cricetulus griseus (Chinese hamster)
Lineage: Eukaryota; Metazoa; Chordata; Mammalia; Rodentia; Cricetidae
Source: RNAcentral